This 253-nucleotide ribosomal RNA is filed under the name uncultured bacterium. RNAcentral's name for it is "partial 16S ribosomal RNA". It matches the Rfam family "Bacterial small subunit ribosomal RNA", at positions 524 to 776 of the family's 1533-position model. The record is from RNAcentral.
UACGUAGGGUCCGAGCGUUGUCCGGAUUUACUGGGCGUAAAGAGCGUGUAGGCGGCCAAGCAGGUCCGUUGUGAAAACUGGAGGCUUAACCUCCAGACGUCGACGGAAACCGCGUGGCUAGAGUCCGGAAGAGGAGAGUGGAAUUCCUGGUGUAGCGGUGAAAUGCGCAGAUAUCAGGAAGAACACCAAUGGCGAAGGCAGCUCUCUGGGACGGUACUGACGCUGAGACGCGAAAGCGUGGGGAGCAAACAGG